GACGAACGCUGGCGGCGUGCUUAACACAUGCAAGUCGAACGGACAGACAGAGAGCUUGCUCUCUUGAAGUUAGUGGCGAACGGGUGAGUAACGCGUAAUCAACCUGCCCUUCAGAGGGGGAUAACAAUGGGAAACCGUUGCUAAUACCGCGUACGAUUCAUGAACGGCAUCGUUUAUGAAUGAAAGGUGGCCUCUAUGUAUAAGCUAUCGAUGAAGGAGGGGAUUGCGUCAGGUUAGCUAGUUGGAGGGGUAACGGCCCACCAAGGCAAUGAUCAGUAGCCGGUCUGAGAGGAUGAACGGCCACAUUGGGACUGAGACACGGCCCAAACUCCUACGGGAGGCAGCAGUGGGGAAUCUUCCGCAAUGGGCGAAAGUCUGACGGAGCAACGCCGCGUGAGUGAUGAAGGUCUUCGGAUUGUAAAGCUCUGUUAAUCGGGACGAAAGAGUUCUGCGUGAAUAAUGCAGAAAAGUGACGGUACCGGAAUAGAAAGCCACGGCUAACUACGUGCCAGCAGCCGCGGUAA
Molecule: ribosomal RNA, 524 nt
Filed under: uncultured bacterium
Lineage: Bacteria
Description: partial 16S ribosomal RNA
Rfam family: Bacterial small subunit ribosomal RNA
Source: RNAcentral